UAGGGAACACAGCUGAGCAGGACGCUGGUCCCACGGAUGUGCCUGACGGCCACGCGCGUUUGGGGUCACUCCCGGGCCGCACGGCUGUGCUGUUCGCUCAGCAGGCGAGGAGCCCGGACAAACAGCAACCCACGCUGGAAGUGGCCUCAGGCGGGGCUUCGGCGGCUGCAGGGGAUGACUGGGGACAAGCCUGGGCAUGCUUCUGGGUCAGGGGUGCCCCAGGAGCAUGGCUGGGGGGACAGUGCCUGGAGGAUCCAGCGAGGAGGAACGAGUGAGUCAUCACAAUCCGCAGUCACAAGGCAGGCGGCACCUUGCACGAAGGUGCCCAGAGGUGGAGCCUCAGCCCCACAGUCUCAGCCGCGCCCUCGGCAGGUCCCCAUCCCAAAUGCUGAGCCCGGGGGUCGCACAGGGGCCAUGAGGUCCUACACGGCACCCGUCCACCCUGCCCGAGGAGGACACUUCGCAAAACCCACGACUGAGACCCACGACUGCCGUCUGCUCACCUCGACGCAAGACCUGGGGCAGAAAGCGCUUCCUCCAGCAAAUCCGAGAGGACAGGUGUUCUCACCUCGGUCUGCCGUGUGCUCCCCGGAGGCUCAGCGAUGGCUUCGGUGAAGGCGGCGGAGGCUGCAGGCUCCCGGAGAGGACCAGGAUGUGGGCGGCUGGCAGCCUGUCAUCCCGGAG
Molecule: long non-coding RNA, 684 nt
Filed under: Microcebus murinus (gray mouse lemur)
Lineage: Eukaryota; Metazoa; Chordata; Mammalia; Primates; Cheirogaleidae
Description: lncRNA (ENSMICG00000048260.1)
Source: RNAcentral